AUUAGUUGCCCUUUAAUUGGGGGAGGGUAUGAAAGGUUUGACCCCAGGAUACUGUCUUUAAGCUAUAUAAUUAAUUUUCUUUUUAAGUGAAAAAGCUUAAAUUUUUGUAAAAGACGAGAAGACCCUGUCGAACUUUAUUAGGUAUUUAAAUUGUAUGUGUAAUUUAUUUACUAAAGUUUUGCUGGGGCAGUAAAAAAUCAAUUUUGUUGUGUGGAGAGCCUAUUAGAUAGAAAUAAGCACAAGUUACCGCAGGGAUAACAGCGUAAUUUUUUUUGAGAGUUCUUAUUGAGAGAAAAGUAUGCGACCUCGAUGUUGAAUUAAGGAUACCCUAUGGCGUAGCCGCUAUGGUGGUAAAACUGUUCGUUUUUUAAAUCUUUACGUGAUCUGAGUUCAGACCGGAG
This 401-nucleotide ribosomal RNA is filed under the name Neolepton hupei. RNAcentral describes it as "partial large subunit ribosomal RNA". It matches the Rfam family "Bacterial large subunit ribosomal RNA", at positions 1964 to 2621 of the family's 2925-position model. The record is from RNAcentral. Lineage: Eukaryota; Metazoa; Mollusca; Bivalvia; Venerida; Neoleptonidae.